CCUACGGGGGGCAGCAGUGGGGAAUAUUGGACAAUGGGCGAAAGCCUGAUCCAGCCAUGCCGCGUGUGUGAAGAAGGCCUUCGGGUUGUAAAGCACUUUCAGUGGGGAAGAAAGCCUUGGGGCUAAUACCCUCGAGGAAGGACAUCACCCACAGAAGAAGCACCGGCUAACUCCGUGCCAGCAGCCGCGGUAAUACGGAGGGUGCGAGCGUUAAUCGGAAUUACUGGGCGUAAAGCGCGCGUAGGUGGUCUGAUAAGCCGGUUGUGAAAGCCCCGGGCUCAACCUGGGAACGGCAUCCGGAACUGUCAGGCUAGAGUGCAGGAGAGGAAGGUAGAAUUCCCGGUGUAGCGGUGAAAUGCGUAGAGAUCGGGAGGAAUACCAGUGGCGAAGGCGGCCUUCUGGACUGACACUGACGCUGAGGUGCGAAAGCGUGGGUAGCAAACAGGAUUAGAUACCCUAGUAGUC
This 465-nucleotide ribosomal RNA is filed under the name Vreelandella stevensii. RNAcentral's name for it is "partial 16S ribosomal RNA". It matches the Rfam family "Bacterial small subunit ribosomal RNA", at positions 338 to 795 of the family's 1533-position model. The record is from RNAcentral. Lineage: Bacteria; Pseudomonadati; Pseudomonadota; Gammaproteobacteria; Oceanospirillales; Halomonadaceae.